UGGGUAAUCAACCCUCGGCACCGGGAUAGCCCGAGGAAACUCGGAUUAAUACCGGAUAGCCCCUCCGACUCUCGAGUCGGUCGGGAAAGGUAGCUUAGGCCUCUGGCCGGGGACGAGCCCGCGGCGGAUUAGCUUGUUGGUGGGGUAAUGGCCUACCAAGGCAACGAUCCGUAGCUGGUCUGAGAGGACGUUCAGCCACACUGGGACUGAGACACGGCCCAGACUCCUACGGGAGCAG
RNAcentral lists this ribosomal RNA (238 nucleotides) under uncultured bacterium. Its description in RNAcentral is "partial 16S ribosomal RNA". It matches the Rfam family "Bacterial small subunit ribosomal RNA", at positions 118 to 347 of the family's 1533-position model. The record is from RNAcentral.